GGGUGGUGAGGGUUGAUGGUGGUGGAGGUGGGUGGUGAGGGCUGAUGAUGGAGGAGGUAGGUGAUGGCGGCUGAUGGUGGUUUAGGCGGGAAUGUUUUUUUUUCUACAUGGGUAAGGUUUGCAAGAACUAUUUAACACCGACGGAUUAUGUCUCUAUGAUAUUCACCAAAGAUGGAAUAUGGGCUGCAAUGCACAUAGUGGAAAGAUGUUCAUCCUUAUCAGGUUAAAGCGGUGCUGCUGGAGUGUGCAGGGUACCAUGGUGUGGCUUGAGUGCAAGUGUGGAAGCGAAGGGUAAUAAAGAGGCUGCUUCCAUAUCUAUGACUUUUUACUUAGCCUGCUUAAUCUUUUUUUAAGGAUGCUUUCAUAUCACAAGUUAGAAAAAUAAGAAAUCCAAGAAGCUUACAUGCUCCCAACAAAACUGACAAAGUAAACUAUGCUUCCUGCUAUUUACUACAAGAUGCAUGGACGGUUGCGAUUAUGAGUGCGUUUAUUAAGCGUGGACAGGAAUCUGGUUAUACCAAAAUUACAUUGAGAGGUAACACUCCGGAUGAGAAGAUUGUUAUAAUAUGUAAGAUAGAUGCGCAUAACAGGCCGACUGGCUACAUAAGGGUGAGAACUAGGUAACCUGAGAUGCGGUGUUUGAGCAUGAUUCGUGGGUUCGGGUGUGAUUAGAGGUGACGUGGGAGAUAGAGAUGGGUAUAGGAUUCGAUUAUGGCUUAAUUCGUAAUAGGCAAGCCAGUUUUCUCUUGGAACUGUAUAACAACGAUUAUGGAAGCAACCGAGCUUCUGAAUUGGGAUGUUGACGGAAAGCUAUUCUCACCCACUCUCGAUGAUUGCUUCAGGUCAAAACAUCAUGAAGUUGGUCAAGGAUGGUUUUAUGAUUUGAAAGCCAACCAAUAUUCACUCGAGGUCUCGGGCACGUCGCAUAAAAGAGGUUAAUAGAAAAGGUUGUCAUUCUCUAUAUGGCGAGUUUUAUUUAUCAAGUUUCAGCUAGCACUUCAAGCCUUUAGCCAAUCAGGGAGGAUGGAUAGCCAACACACUUGUGAGCAAAGGUUUGUCUGUGACCACAUUCAGAAAAGUAUAGAUAAGGAGAUACUCUUGAAAUAUCCUAAUUCAGUUCUACUAGAUACUUUUUAGUUAUUUUUGCUUAAUAAUAGCAAUUCCUAGAAGUUAACGUGCUGUUGAUUGUUGACUGUUUAGAUAGCUAUAUGUUUUAACAGAAAAAAAUGAAUGAAAUAUUUUGUUCUUUGUAUAAUAUAUUUUAUGUUUUG
This 1271-nucleotide long non-coding RNA is filed under the name Helianthus annuus (common sunflower). The record is from RNAcentral. Lineage: Eukaryota; Viridiplantae; Streptophyta; Magnoliopsida; Asterales; Asteraceae.